GACGAACGCUGGCGGCGUGCUUAACACAUGCAAGUCGAACGGAGUGGCGAACGGGUGAGUAACACGUGGGUGACCUGCCCUGCACUUCGGGAUAAGCCUGGGAAACUGGGUCUAAUACCGGAUAGUGUGGGAUGGGCCCGCGGCCUAUCAGCUUGUUGGUGGGGUAAUGGCCUACCGAGGCGGCGACGGGUAGCCGGCCUGAGAGGGUGGACGGCCAAAUUGCGACUGAGGCACGGUCCAGAAUCAUCAGGGAGGCAGCGGUGGGGAAUAUUGCACAAUGGGCGGAAGCCGGAUGGAGUGACGUCGAGUGGGGGAUGAAGGCCUUCGGGUUGUAAACUCCUUUCACCAGCGACGCGGUAGUUGGAUAAUAAGCACCGGCUAACUACGUGCCAGCAGCCGCGGUAAUUC
RNAcentral lists this ribosomal RNA (408 nucleotides) under uncultured bacterium. RNAcentral's name for it is "partial 16S ribosomal RNA". It matches the Rfam family "Bacterial small subunit ribosomal RNA", at positions 28 to 526 of the family's 1533-position model. The record is from RNAcentral.